AUUGAACGCUGGCGGCAGGCCUAACACAUGCAAGUCGAACGAGUGGCGGACGUGUGAGUAAUGUCUGGGAAACUGCCUGGGGGAUGGGGAUAACUACUGGAAACGGUAGCUAAUACCGCAUACCAUCGGAUGUGCCCAGGUGGGAUUAGCGAGGGGGUGGGGUAAAGGCUCACCUAGGCGACGAUCCCUAGCUGGUCUGAGAGGAUGACCAGCCACACUGGAACUGAGACACGGUCCAGACUCCUACGGGAGGCAGCAGUGGGGAAUAUUGCACAAUGGGCGCAAGCCUGAUGCAGCCAUGCCGCGUGUAUGAAGAAGGCCUUCGGGUUGUAAAGUACUUUCAGCGGGGAGGCGUUACCCGCAGAAGAAGCACCGGCUAACUCCGUGCCAGCAGCCGCGGUAAUAC
This 406-nucleotide ribosomal RNA is filed under the name uncultured bacterium. RNAcentral's name for it is "partial 16S ribosomal RNA". It matches the Rfam family "Bacterial small subunit ribosomal RNA", at positions 30 to 526 of the family's 1533-position model. The record is from RNAcentral.